GCCUCACCUCUCUGCUGAAUGUUCUUUUUACCUCUUGUCUUUAGUCUCUUGGAAGUCUGUUUAUUUGCCGUUGAUCUGUUCACAGCUGCUGAAUGUUUGCUGAAACCACAUUCCAAACGAGUGGUUUCUGUUUUCUCUUGGCUAAGGAGGAGCAGAAAGAGAAGAAUCCUCUCAGUGCUCAAGCUCCACUCCUUAGACAAGCAAGAACUAGGUUGCAUGUGUCUUCUUUAAAUACACAGCCAGAAAAAGAGACUCCAAUAAAAAGGUGUGUGAGUUCAGCUGGCUGUGACUUGAUUUCAGCAUUUUGGGCCUGAAGCUUCCUCUUCCCCAGGGUGAUGCGAGGGAUCAGAAGGCAGGUGUCCUGGUGGAGCUGAACCAGGCCGUUGUCUGCACUGAGGA
Non-coding RNA from Pogona vitticeps (central bearded dragon), 399 nucleotides. Lineage: Eukaryota; Metazoa; Chordata; Lepidosauria; Squamata; Agamidae. The record is from RefSeq and is a predicted model, not a curated record.